GAUGAAGAACGUAGCGAAAUGCGAUAAGUAAUGUGAAUUGCAGAAUUCAGUGAAUCAUCGAAUCUUUGAACGCACAUUGCGCCCCUUGGUAUUCCGAGGGGCAUGCCCGUUCGAGCGUCAUUAUACCCCUCAAGCCUAGCUUGGUGUUGGGGCCUGCUGUUACCGGCAGCCCUUAAAAUCAGUGGCGGUGCCAUCUGGCUCUAAGCGUAGUAAUACUUCUCGCUACAGGGUCCCGGUGGAUGCUUGCCAUCAACCCCUAAUUUUCUAUGGUUGACCUUGGAUCGGGUAGGGAUACCCGCUGAACUUAAGCAUAUCAAUAAGCGGAGGA
Molecule: unclassified non-coding RNA, 328 nt
Filed under: soil metagenome
Description: partial contains 5.8S ribosomal RNA, internal transcribed spacer 2, and large subunit ribosomal RNA
Rfam family: 5.8S ribosomal RNA (bases 1-120)
Source: RNAcentral